Molecule: transfer RNA, 72 nt
Filed under: Clathrina clathrus
Lineage: Eukaryota; Metazoa; Porifera; Calcarea; Clathrinida; Clathrinidae
Description: tRNA-Phe
Source: RNAcentral
GUCUCUUUAACUGUAAUGGCAGAGUGUCUAAUUGAAAAUUAGGAAAUCUAGGUUCAACCCCUGAUUGGUGAA